CUCCCGCUAUGAUGAGUGUGCAUAGUCCGUGUUUCACCUGAUUUUCUGUGAUUACAUGUAUGCACUGAGCGGGCU
Molecule: non-coding RNA, 75 nt
Organism: Pelobates cultripes (western spadefoot toad)
Lineage: Eukaryota; Metazoa; Chordata; Amphibia; Anura; Pelobatidae
Source: the annotation of a GenBank genome assembly